AGUGAACGCUGGCGGCAGGCCUAACACAUGCAAGUCGAGCGGCAGCGCGUCCGACCACCCUCGGGUGGUCGGAUGGCGGCGAGCGGCGGACGGGUGAGGAAUGCAUCGGAAUCUGCCUCGUUGUGGGGGAUAACGUAGGGAAACUUACGCUAAUACCGCAUACGACCUACGGGUGAAAGUGGGGGACCUUCGGGCCUCACGCGAUGAGAUGAGCCGAUGCCGGAUUAGCUAGUUGGCGGGGUAAAGGCCCACCAAGGCGACGAUCCGUAGCUGGUCUGAGAGGAUGAUCAGCCACACUGGAACUGAGACACGGUCCAGACUCCUACGGGAGGCAGCAGUGGGGAACAUUGGACAAUGGGGGCAACCCUGAUCCAGCCAUGCCGCGUGUGUGAAGAAGGCC
RNAcentral lists this ribosomal RNA (400 nucleotides) under uncultured bacterium. RNAcentral describes it as "bacterial SSU rRNA". It matches the Rfam family "Bacterial small subunit ribosomal RNA", at positions 30 to 416 of the family's 1533-position model. The record is from RNAcentral.